CCUACGGGAGUCAGCAGUGAGGAAUAUUGGUCAAUGGGCGCGAGCCUGAACCCGCCAAGUCGCGUGAGGGAAGACGGUCCUAUGGAUUGUAAACCUCUUUUGUCGGGGAGCAAAAGACGCCACGCGUGGCGUUCCGAGAGUACCCGAAGAAAAAGCAUCGGCUCACUCCGUGCCAGCAGCCGCGGUAAUACGGAGGCUGCGAGCGUUAUCCGGAUUUCUUGGGUUUAAAGGGUGCGCAGGCGGAAGAUCAAGUCAGCGGUAAAAUUGAGAGGCUCAACCUCUUCGAGCCGUUGAAACUGGUUUUCUUGAGUGAGUGAGAAGUAUGCGGAAUGCGUGGUGUAGCGGUGAAAUGCAUAGAUAUCACGCAGAACUCCGAUUGCGAAGGCAGCAUACCGGCGCUCAACUGACGCUCAUGCACGAAAGUGUGGGUAUCGAACAGGAUUAGAUACCCUGGUAGUC
RNAcentral lists this ribosomal RNA (459 nucleotides) under uncultured bacterium. RNAcentral's name for it is "partial 16S ribosomal RNA". It matches the Rfam family "Bacterial small subunit ribosomal RNA", at positions 338 to 795 of the family's 1533-position model. The record is from RNAcentral.